RNAcentral lists this unclassified non-coding RNA (248 nucleotides) under uncultured Ascomycota. RNAcentral's name for it is "sequence contains 5.8S rRNA gene, ITS2, 28S rRNA gene". Lineage: Eukaryota; Fungi; Ascomycota. The record is from RNAcentral.
AACGCAUAUUGCGCCCCUUGGUAUUCCGGGGGGCACACCUGUUCGAGCGCCAUUCAACCCUCAAGCAUUGCUUGGUGUUGGGCAGGGUCCUUUAGGGGACCCACCCGUAACUUGUAGGCGGCUUCCGGCCCGCCUCCCCCAGCGUAGCAGGCUAACGCACUCGCUCGGGGACGGUCAGAGUGGUCAGCCCAUUUAAACCCCUCCAAAGGUUUGGCCUCGGAUCAGGUGGGGAUACCCGCUGAACUUAA